GGCGCUAUCGUCUAGAGGCCCAGGACACAAGCUUUUCAAGCUUGGUACACGGGUUCGAAUCCCGUUAGCGCUA
Molecule: transfer RNA, 73 nt
Filed under: Candidatus Azambacteria bacterium RIFCSPHIGHO2_01_FULL_40_24
Lineage: Bacteria; Candidatus Azamiibacteriota
Description: tRNA-Glu
Rfam family: tRNA
About the family: Transfer RNA (tRNA) molecules are approximately 80 nucleotides in length. Their secondary structure includes four short double-helical elements and three loops (D, anti-codon, and T loops). Further hydrogen bonds mediate the characteristic L-shaped molecular structure. tRNAs have two regions of fundamental functional importance: the anti-codon, which is responsible for specific mRNA codon recognition, and the 3' end, to which the tRNAs corresponding amino acid is attached (by aminoacyl-tRNA synthetases). tRNAs cope with the degeneracy of the genetic code in two manners: having more than one tRNA (with a specific anti-codon) for a particular amino acid; and 'wobble' base-pairing, i.e. permitting non-standard base-pairing at the 3rd anti-codon position.
Source: RNAcentral